ACGUCUGAUAUUUUAUUACAAUAUUACAAUUAUAGAUUACAGUAAUUGCAACGUUAAAUCCUAUUAAAGCAGAAUUGGAAACAUUCUGGUAUACAACUCUUUCACUGCCAAUUGACAACCAACAUUGUACACUAGACAGCAUUGUCAAUGGUGAAUUGGAAAAUAAAAUAGAACAAACUCGAGCAUAUAACAUACAUCCACAAGAAACAACUGUACACAGUUCAAAUAGAAUUGAAUCUACUUCUUCUGGUACUUCAGACUAUGUAACUAAACAAGAUAUGGAACAGAUAUUCAAUGUACACAGACAAGAUGUCUUUGGUUUCUACGACAGCUUGAAAACA
Molecule: long non-coding RNA, 341 nt
Filed under: Olea europaea (common olive)
Lineage: Eukaryota; Viridiplantae; Streptophyta; Magnoliopsida; Lamiales; Oleaceae
Description: long non-coding RNA (OEUR_LNC012004)
Source: RNAcentral